This 263-nucleotide unclassified non-coding RNA is filed under the name uncultured fungus. RNAcentral describes it as "partial contains 5.8S ribosomal RNA, internal transcribed spacer 2, and large subunit ribosomal RNA". The record is from RNAcentral. Lineage: Eukaryota; Fungi. RNAcentral also lists the same sequence under 1 other name.
AACGCACAUGGCGCCUUCCAGUAUCCUGGGAGGCAUGCCUGUCCGAGCGUCGUUUCAACCCUCGAGCCCCCGUGGCCCGGCGUUGGGGAUCUGCCACGGCAGGCCCCUAAAACCAGUGGCGGACCCGAAGGGCCCUCUCCUUUGCGCAGUAGCAUCAGCCUCGCAUCGGGAGCCCUCGGCGUCCUGCCUCUAAACCCCCCACAAGCCCGCCUAGCGGCACCAAGGUUGACCUCGGAUCAGGUAGGAAUACCCGCUGAACUUAA